Aricia agestis (brown argus) is the source of this 382-nucleotide long non-coding RNA. RefSeq lists it as uncharacterized. The transcript is spliced from 3 exons. The record is from RefSeq and is a predicted model, not a curated record. NCBI's taxonomy places the organism in Eukaryota, Metazoa, Arthropoda, Insecta, Lepidoptera, Lycaenidae.
ACUAGCUGUAAAGUUCCGACGAACUUACAAAGCUCGGGGUUCAUAUUAAUCCGUGCUUAGUCGGAGUUUCGUGGGGUGGGGAGGGUGAAGCCAACAGGUGGCCCAAAUAAAAGCUUUGCGGGCUCAUUUGGCGAGUUAGUGACGAAAUUGACUUUUAUUUUCAUGUGAUUUAUCAUGUUUUGGAGAAACCUCGCCCGAAUUCGUUUAUAAGCGUAGUGUUGUGCCACGAUAUAUAACCAUGAUUGUGCAAAAUAUCGACAUCGAUCAUUGGUGAUUAAAUACGUAAGUGGAUGAAUGGAUAACAACUCGAGGUGAUCAGCCUGCAUUGUCCUAACCAAACUUGGAAAUACCAUGUUUCGGUAAAUGACCCCCUACUACCGAG